Molecule: unclassified non-coding RNA, 156 nt
Filed under: uncultured Cistella
Lineage: Eukaryota; Fungi; Ascomycota; Leotiomycetes; Helotiales; Hyaloscyphaceae
Description: sequence contains ITS1
Source: RNAcentral
CAGAGUUCAUGCCCUCACGGGUAGAUCUCCCACCCUUGAAUAUAUUACCUUUGUUGCUUUGGCGGGCCGCUUUGUCCACUGGCUUUGGCUAGUGUGUGCCCGCCAGAGGUCCAAAAUUCUGAUUUACAGUGUCGUCUGAGUACUAUAUAAUAGUUA